RNAcentral lists this long non-coding RNA (791 nucleotides) under Apteryx owenii (little spotted kiwi). Its description in RNAcentral is "lncRNA (ENSAOWG00000011146.1)". The record is from RNAcentral. Lineage: Eukaryota; Metazoa; Chordata; Aves; Apterygiformes; Apterygidae.
UAAAGUAAACAGCCUCCAACAAGUGAACCUUGACAACCCAGAUUAAGGAAGGCAGGAGAGAUCAAACAAAGCUGCUGCUGGGCUGUUGUCAGGAGCUGCCUCACUGAAAGCUCUGGACUAUUCGAUCAGGCAGCAAGGCUAUAUGUUCACUUAUGCAGAAAUGGACCAUUACAAAUGCCGAGCUUUGUUGUGAAACCAAAGGAUAACUUUGAGAAAAAUAACUACUAUUUCAAACAAGGUUUUCUCUUGCUUAAGAUUUUGACUGCAAACGUGACAGCGUCAGACGUGUGAUCUUUAAGUCAACUCUCCUCUGCGGGUCCGACUGCAGAUGAAAUGGCCCGGAGCACCGUGCUGCAGGGUCUGUUGCCACUGCUGAUUUAAUUGAUUUUUCAGACAGAAAGGCCUUACGAUUCCUGCCCCCUCCUCCCAAAUUUUGGAAGACGUGUGAAGGUGUUUCCCGCAGUACGAGCACCCGCGCUGGCUGCCCGCGACCCCCCGUCGGUCUCGGCGUGUUGCUGCUACCCAUCAGGGUCCGGUGUCUUCCCGCGGGCUCCCCACGGGGUCUUAACCGCUCUAGAGCUGUCCGUGCCCGGAUGAAGACGCCCUUGCCUCGCUGCCCGUUGGAGCCGCUGCCCGUCCCGUUUUGUGCUCCCGGGGYGCUGCCGGAGUCGCUGCCCCCUCCCGCGUUUCACCUUUAUCUUCGUGGCACCGUCGCUCCCACGGCCACCUUCGCUUCCCACCGAACGCGCGCUCCUGUCUGGGGCUCGGUCCUUGGCUUCGCGGCAGGAUAA